This 257-nucleotide ribosomal RNA is filed under the name uncultured Glomus. RNAcentral describes it as "partial 18S ribosomal RNA". It matches the Rfam family "Eukaryotic small subunit ribosomal RNA", at positions 624 to 886 of the family's 1831-position model. The record is from RNAcentral. Lineage: Eukaryota; Fungi; Glomeromycota; Glomeromycetes; Glomerales; Glomeraceae.
AAGCUCGUAGUUGAAUUUCGGGAUUAGUACGUCGGUCGUGCCUUAGGUACGUACUGGUGCUACUGGUUUCUACCUUCUGACGAACCAUCAUGUCAUUAAUUUGGUGUGGUGGGGAAUCAGGACUGUUACUUUGAAAAAAUUAGAGUGUUUAAAGCAGGCUCGCGCUUGAAUACAUUAGCAUGGAAUAAUGAAAUAGGACGUUGAUCCUAUUUUGUUGGUUUCUAGGAUUGACGUAAUGAUUAAUAGGGAUAGUUGGG